UCGAAGCGCGCGGAAGUUCUUGUACCCUGUUUAAUCCUGCAGUCGAAGCGUGUGUUCUACACGGUAGUGUGAUGCAAUUGUGCAGUGGUGUAUCCAAGUGAAUCUGGUUCCGGUGUUUGUGGCUGAUUGGAGUGAGUUGUUCUUCUGAAGCAUCUGAAGCAGCAUCAUCAGCGACAGUGGGGAUUAGAAUCGGUUAGCGGUUUUUUUUUCUGGUUCUGCUUGCCUUCUUUCGCGGUUUUACCGUAUUUGAUUGAUGGAAAUCUGCAACAGAAGUGAUAAUAGUGAGACUUUUGUGUUGUGGGAUUAAGGUCCUUGUGAGAAGAUUUGUUUGGAAAGGGAUACGUGAGGCGUGAUUUUUUAUUUGGAGUCGCAGCUGAAGUGGAUGGCUUAAAGUGGAUAACAGCGUUUUUUUUUCGGAGCAGCAGUAAAGCAUUUGGAGAAGCGACCUGCGGAUUACAACCAAAUCGGAUUGCGAAACCAGUGUGUGGAUUUUGCUUUUUUUUCUUGUUCCUAUCCUUUGCCUCUUAUGUCCCCGUUUAUAUUGUCAAGAAGGUGAUUUUGGGCUGACUGCUUCGCGAAUGUAUGGGCGUUGAAUGCAAUUUUCGGCAACUGGCGGGAAGAUUCGCGAAGCGUAACGUUUUGAUUUCCGGAAGCCCCAUUGAGUGAGUGAGCAGUAUCAAGUAUAGAGAAGACAGGGUGAAAGCCAAAUAUUUCAAGUUUAACUUGGGAAGAAAGAGGGUCACCGGAGGGUUUCCCCUGGGUUGAAAUAUUCUCAUUCGAAAAUUGUGAAUUGCACGGGUCCGAUAAAUUUGCUGUGGAAAGGUAGCUAAAAUAGAUUAAUUGUGCUGAAUUGCAAUAAAAAAAAGUUGGGCUCGCCAGAGGAAAACGGCAAAGUUAAAUUACCGUAGAAAGUGUGUCGAAAGCCGAUUGCAGAGAAGAACAACUUGAGGAAUACCUCUGGAGGGUUUGCUUCCUGUUGUGUGUACAUCUCUGAAGUAACAAUCCCAAAGACGGAUUCAUAUUUCUUGUUCUGCUGUUCCGGUGUGAAUACAUUUAAGCCGGCUGUCUUGCUUCAAGAGUUCUUCGAAGUGUAAGAGUGGAUCAGAGCCAAAAAAAGGUUUCUUCCCUCAAUUGCUGUACCAGAUUUGUGCUCUCUUUACCUCUGGGUGUUGUGUAGUUAUUCUACCUUGGCUGGUUUCAAUCUUGGCUGCACCAUCUUUGGAAGAUUCAUUUCCACAAGUUUUACGAAAAGGGGCUGAGGUGUGGCAGCUGCUCUUGAGAGGCGUUUCGUACCCGAAGAAGAAGUUGAAUCAUCGCAUCAAGCCAGUGAGCUGUAAAGACAGAACAAAACUUUUCUUCAGUCUCGCUUUGCUGUAGAACUUCGUUUUGAAGUGUUUGGAAAGAUCUCGAUCGAGUUUACAAUCAACCCCCUCCGAAUAUCAGGACAAAUCCCGAUUUAUCAGGACAACUGGCACCUUUGGUAGCUGCUGUCAUGACUGCUGAGAAGAAGAAAAAAAAGAAAAAUAAAAUAAACAGAAAUCUCGUACGAAUUUUUGAUGCUGUUAUCAAAAAUUCGUGCGAAACUUCUGUUGAUCUCCCGCAAUGGACCAGGAAGCCGGCGCACCGUGGGCUGGACUCUGCAACUUAGACAAAGAGAUGCAUAAUAUUUCAGUGUCGCCGAAUGAAGCAUUUUUCUGUGCAGCCCGAGUUCCCCGACCGUGGGGACUACCUCGCUUGUAUAACUAUGGCUCUGCAGUGUGGAUUUCGGAACCAAUUGGCCAAUGUCUCAGCCCACUUCAUACACGCAUUGAAUAAUGGAUGAAGCUGAAUCAAAGAAUUAAAAAGGUUUCUGAAUGGAUUGAACGUAAGUUAAAAUAUAAAAAUAAAAUAUA
Molecule: long non-coding RNA, 1892 nt
Organism: Uranotaenia lowii
Lineage: Eukaryota; Metazoa; Arthropoda; Insecta; Diptera; Culicidae
Exons: 4
Source: RefSeq, a predicted model, not a curated record